This 238-nucleotide long non-coding RNA is filed under the name Mytilus galloprovincialis (Mediterranean mussel). The record is from RNAcentral. Lineage: Eukaryota; Metazoa; Mollusca; Bivalvia; Mytilida; Mytilidae.
AAUAAAGGAGUAGGUCCAGUAAGACCCCUUUUUGGCCCCAAAAUAUAGCAGUUUUACAAAAUUGUUAAAAUGUAAACUUUUAGUUAUUUAUUGGAUAGUAGAAUGGUGCUGCUACAUAAAUAUGGGCUGUUUUUGACAAUGCAAUGCACAUAUAUUGGGUACUAGCACCAUUAAGUCAUGCUAAAUUACUGAAAUCUUAACAAUUCCAGCAUUUUACUUAAAUUUUAGACGGUUUCCG